GCUGAAGGACGCCUCCUGGUGCGGGAGUUUCUUGCUGCAUUGAAUACCUAUUGGUGACCUGCUGCAGUCUAUGGUCAGGUUGUUGUCUCUUUGACACAUUCCCCAUUUCCAUUCUCAAUUUUAGAUAUACUUACUGGAUCCAGGGACUUUCUAUAGCUGUAGCUGUGAUGCUAUGGUUAAAGCUUAAAAUUUUCUACUUGGUAACAUCUUUGUACUUUUAGGCAAUAAAAGUUAUGGACAUGUUAUAGACAUUCCUAUGGGCACUUACUGCAACCCUUUAAUAUCAUACUUUGUUGCUGUAUUGUUAUGUUAAUUUUCAUUUAUAGUUAUUUGCUUGGUUUCUAAUUAAUACCUUCUAUAUUUAUUGGAUAUUAAACAAGACAACACCCAC
Molecule: long non-coding RNA, 391 nt
Filed under: Mytilus galloprovincialis (Mediterranean mussel)
Lineage: Eukaryota; Metazoa; Mollusca; Bivalvia; Mytilida; Mytilidae
Source: RNAcentral